AUGAACGCUAGCUACAGGCUUAACACAUGCAAGUCGAGGGGAAACGACAUCGAAAGCUUGCUUUUGAUGGGCGUCGACCGGCGCACGGGUGAGUAACGCGUAUCCAACCUGCCCAUCACUUGGGAAUAACCUUGCGAAAGUAAGACUAAUACCCAAUGAUAUCCCACGAAGGCAUCGGAAUGGGAUUAAAGAUUUAUCGGUGAUGGAUGGGGAUGCGUCUGAUUAGCUUGUUGGCGGGGUAACGGCCCACCAAGGCAACGAUCAGUAGGGGUUCUGAGAGGAAGGUCCCCCACAUUGGAACUGAGACACGGUCCAAACUCCUACGGGAGGCAGCAGUGAGGAAUAUUGGUCAAUGGGCGAGAGCCUGAACCAGCCAAGUAGCGUGCAGGAAGACGGCCCUAUGGGUUGUAAACUGCUUUUAUAAGGGAAUAAAGUGGGUCACGUGUGACUUUUUGCAUGUACCUUAUGAAUAAGGACCGGCUAAUUCCGU
Molecule: ribosomal RNA, 490 nt
Filed under: uncultured bacterium
Lineage: Bacteria
Description: partial 16S ribosomal RNA
Rfam family: Bacterial small subunit ribosomal RNA
Source: RNAcentral